Molecule: small nucleolar RNA, 125 nt
Filed under: Echinops telfairi (small Madagascar hedgehog)
Lineage: Eukaryota; Metazoa; Chordata; Mammalia; Afrosoricida; Tenrecidae
Description: Small nucleolar RNA SNORA61 (ENSETEG00000024449.1)
Source: RNAcentral
AGCCCCCAGUUCUCUUUCCCGUCCUCGGGUCUAAACACUGGUCUGGGUGGUUACUCAAGGAGGGAAAGCAACAUUGAAAUCGACUGAGGUGUUUUUUGUAGCACAUGGGCUUGUUCCAAACAGGU